GGACGAACGCUGGCGGCGUGCUUAACACAUGCAAGUCGAGCGGUAAGGCCCUUCGGGGUACACGAGCGGCGAACGGGUGAGUAACACGUGGGUGACCUGCCUCUAGCUCUGGGAUAAGCCUGGGAAACUGGGUCUAAUACCGGAUAUGACUCCACGGCGCAUGUUGUGGGGUGGAAAGCCUUGUGUGGCUAGAGAUGGGCCCGCGGCCUAUCAGCUUGUUGGUGGGGUGAUGGCCUACCAAGGCGACGACGGGUAGCCGGCCUGAGAGGGCGACCGGCCACACUGGGACUGAGACACGGCCCAGACUCCUACGGGAGGCGAGCAGUGGGGAAUCUUGCGCAAUGGGCGAAAGCCUGACGCAGCGACGCCGCGUGAGGGAUGACGGCCU
RNAcentral lists this ribosomal RNA (388 nucleotides) under uncultured bacterium. Its description in RNAcentral is "bacterial SSU rRNA". It matches the Rfam family "Bacterial small subunit ribosomal RNA", at positions 27 to 417 of the family's 1533-position model. The record is from RNAcentral.